UAUGGACUGCACUUCGAGUAGCUCCAACCUAGACUGUCGAAUCAAGAACGUCGUCCUGGAGGAAAUGAUUUUUGCUUAGUGUUCUGUGAUGAAUCUAUGAUCACUAUGACCAUCAUAGAUCACCGUAAUCUAUAUUAAAGAGCAAAUAGGCGAAAUCGAGAUGGGAAGGAGAAUUCCAGGUAAAGAGAAUCCAGGAGAAGAGGAGUGUGGCUGGAACACGCAGGUUCACUGGAGCACUGCAAAUUAGACUGAAAAAAGACAGAUUAUCGGGAGAAAAAAAUACAAAGAAGCUAAUAGGCCGAAGAGCUUAUAUACCAUUUUAAACAAAGAAUGAUAAACUGUGGAGACUUGACAGGAAAGAAAAAAGGGUUUGAGGCUUUCCAGAGCAGUCCACUAUGGGAAGAUCUCACUCUGCACAAUUAAACACCAAUACCACCAACCUGAGUAGGCCUUCCAGGAAAUACUGGGAAAAUUAAAAAGCCACACCCACUGAACCAUUCUAUGGUCACUCAGCAUUUGAAGCAAAUUAUAAAGGUGAAAAAGCUCGAUAAGUGGGUGCUUCAUGAGCUGACCGAGAGUAAAAAAAAAAUUGUCGUUUUGAAGUGUCAUCUUCUCUUACUCUAUGCAACAACGAUGAACCACUUCUUGAUUGGAUUGUGAUGUGCAAGGAAAAGUGGAUUUUAUGUAACAACUGGUGAUGACCAGCUCAGUGGUUGGAUCAAGAAGAAGCUCCAAAGCACUUCCCAAAGCCAAACUUGCAUCAAAAAAAGGUUAUGGUCACUGCUUGGUGGUCUGCUGCCAGUCUGAUCCACUACAGCUUUCUGAAUCCCUGGGAAACCAUUACGGCUGAGAAGUAUGCUCAGCAAACCAAUGAGAUGCACGGAAAACUGCAGUGCCUGCAGCCGGCAUUGGUCAACAGGAAGGGCCCAAUUCUUCUCCACUGCGAUGUCCGACUGCACAUCACAACCAACACUUCACAAGUUGAACAAAUUGGGCUACGAAGUCUUGCCUCAUCUCCCAUAUUCACCUGACCUCUUGCCAGCCGACUACCACUUCUUCAAGCAUCUCGACAACUUUUUGCAGGGAAAAUGCUUCCACAACCAGCAGGAUGCAGAAAAUGCUUUCCGAAAGUUUGUCGAAUCCCGAAGCAUGGAUUUUUAUGCUACAGGAGUAAACUUAUUUCUCAUUGGCAAAAAUGUAUUGAUUGUAAAGUUUUCUUUUUUGAUUAAAGAUGUGUUUGAGCCUAGUUAUAAUGAUUUAAAGUUCACGGUCCAAAGCUGCAAGUACUUUUUGCACCAGCGAGAUGUGCGUAUGAGAGGCUUAUUUCACCCAGCCUCUUUUCCUGUCAUCUGUAGAAUUAUUUCAAGCACAGGAGGGACCCUACUUCAUAUUGGGGAGGAUUAAGGAAGACUUCCUGGAGGAUUGUCUCAGAGCUUGCUGCAGGUGCAUAUUGAAAAGCAAUUCAUUACAAUUUUCUAUAAGAGACUGUGGCUGAACAGUCUGAUAUACAGGUAUGGUCAGAACCUUGUGUAACAAUUUCUCCAUCACGUGUGUAGAAAUCUUAAGGAAAGGAAUACUCUCUCUCAGCAAGCUGAGCCCUGUAGCCAGGUACCUUGAGUAGUGUUUCCUGAAUCUUUAAAACCCACUGACUUCAAAUGGCAUGACUUCCAGACUACAGAGGUGGGUAUAAAGAGCAACUAAGCCCCCCACACCCUUAAAAUCACAUCUUGCCAAAAUCAUGAAGACUUUCAGAGCUUGUGGAUUCAUUCCUCUUUCCAUUGCCACUGCAAAAGCUCAUAGGAAAUUUUUCUCUGUAUGUAAAGAAGGAAAUCAUGCUCUUGCAGCUGCAUCCUGAGUAAUCACUUUUGAGAUAAAACUAUUUUUCUAGCCAUAAAGGCUAUAUUUGAAUUUCACCAGCUGCUUUCUUAAUGAUUACUGGACUAUUUUGAUAAUGGCACCAGCUUCAAGAAAGGUGGUGGUGCUACCUAACCUUUCUUCUUUCUUUGAUAAGAAAGAUUUUUGCAUCAGGGGAGAUUACACUUAUUUAAUGUAAUCCAGAUGUCUCCUUUCUCAGUGUUCUCCAAUUCUGCCAGCCUCAUUGAUCACUCCAACUAUUACUAUUCAAAUACAAAUGGCCUGCAUAUGUAAAGGGAAACUCAGAAUAGUUCACUAUUAAUUUUUUUCUUUUCUUUUCCUUUUCUUCCUUCCUUCCUU
Long non-coding RNA from Chlorocebus sabaeus (green monkey), 2214 nucleotides. RefSeq lists it as uncharacterized. The record is from RefSeq and is a predicted model, not a curated record. Lineage: Eukaryota; Metazoa; Chordata; Mammalia; Primates; Cercopithecidae.